RNAcentral lists this ribosomal RNA (254 nucleotides) under uncultured bacterium. RNAcentral's name for it is "partial 16S ribosomal RNA". It matches the Rfam family "Bacterial small subunit ribosomal RNA", at positions 524 to 776 of the family's 1533-position model. The record is from RNAcentral.
GACAGAGGGCGCGAGCGUUGUUCGGAAUCACUGGGCGUAAAGCGCGCGCAGGCGGACCAGGCAAGUCUGGAGUGAAAUCUCGCCGCUCAACGGCGAGGCUGCUUUGGAAACUGCGGGUCUGGAGACCGGUAGAGGCUGGUAGAAUUGCAGGUGUAGCGGUGGAAUGCGUAGAGAUCCGGAGGAACACCAGGGGCGAAGGCGGCCGACUGGCCGAGUGCUGACGCUGAGGCGCGACGGCGUGGGGAGCAAACCGG